UUAACCCACAAAUCUCAAAACGAU
RNAcentral lists this non-coding RNA (24 nucleotides) under Arabidopsis thaliana (thale cress). The record is from RNAcentral. Lineage: Eukaryota; Viridiplantae; Streptophyta; Magnoliopsida; Brassicales; Brassicaceae.